This 77-nucleotide transfer RNA is filed under the name Nitrospinae bacterium RIFCSPLOWO2_12_FULL_45_22. RNAcentral's name for it is "tRNA-Asp". It matches the Rfam family "tRNA". Rfam says of the family: Transfer RNA (tRNA) molecules are approximately 80 nucleotides in length. Their secondary structure includes four short double-helical elements and three loops (D, anti-codon, and T loops). Lineage: Bacteria; Pseudomonadati; Nitrospinota. RNAcentral also lists the same sequence under 2 other names. The record is from RNAcentral.
GGGGUCGUAGUUCAGUUGGUUAGAACGCCGGCCUGUCACGCCGGAGGUCGCGAGUUCGAGCCUCGUCGACCCCGCCA